UUUCCGUAUUUUUUCUCUGUAUAUCACUGAUGUAUUUCUUUUAAUAAUAACUGGAUGUAGAAUGUAUGUAUAAUGAAAAGCAAUUCCAACUUUUAAGGCGAGGAGUACGACCGGUUAGGAAUAAUAUUACUUUAGAGAAACGACUGAUUUAUUCGAAUGCCCUAAGUCUGACUACUCAUCAAUUACUGAUGGGAUCUAGCUACCGUUUUGCUGAAGGUCACCAACCCCCUCAUUUGAAUGAGGAUUGCACUUACUUGGCUAGUUUUUCUGGGUCUGUUAUGCAUGAGGAAAUGGGUAACCGAACCAGGUAUAUCCGAUGUGCCUCGACCACUAUGGCCCCAAGUGAAUCUAAUCACUGAGAGGCUUUCAGUCCAAUUGGUAGCACACCUAAAUGCAACGAAUCGAGGGAAACGUCUGCAACCUGAAGCAUCAUCGAGAUAGGUACCUGCAUGAAACAAGAAACUUUUACCUCUCUUUCUGGGGUGAUUAGUAUUUUUUUCCAUUGAAGCUUGUUGGAUCUCUUUGUGACAAGGUGGCUCAUCUGGCGAGGAUCGUGGAGAUGAAGGACCAAGCUUUGUCUACCGUUCAAAGCAGUUUGUCAUAACUCUAUGUAGAAUGUAUGGAUAAUGAAAAGAAGUUCCAACUUCUAAGGUGAGGCGUGCAUCCUUUUAGGAAAAAUAUCACUAUAGAGAACCGACCGACUUAUUCGAAUGCCUCAAGUCUGACUGAUCGCCCUUUACUGAUAGGAACUGACUCUCAUUCAGAUGAAGGUUGUCAACCCCUCCUUUAAAUGAGGAUUGCGCUCACUUGGCUAGCCUUUAUAUGCUCAUUCUGGAUGAGGAAAUUGGUAACCUAGACAAGUAUACCCGGCGUGCCUUGACCGUUCUGGCCCUUGGUGCAUCCGAUCACUAGGAGGCUUUUUGGUCCAAUUGGUACUGCGCUGAAAAGCAACAAAUAGAGGAAAAGUCUACGAAAACAUCAGCAAGAUAGGUACCUUCAUGAAGUAAAGGAAGCUUUUACCUCUCUUUCUGGGGUGAAAAGUGUAUUGCUUACUUUUAAGCUCGCUGGAUCUUUUUUUGACCAGGUGGCUCAUCUGCUGAGGAUCGUGGAGAUGAAGAACCAAGCUUUCUCUACCGCUCGAAGUAGUUUGAGGUCUGCUCACAAAGAAUUAUAGCUUUUGUAUUCUCUAAAUGCUUUACUGACUCAGCAGUUUCCUGACUAUACGAGUUCCACCCUUGCGGAGGUUUCAUAGUCAUUUGAAAAUGCUUUACAUCAAAUGGAGCAUUUCCACCAUCCCCUAACGCUUUCCAUGGACAAAUUCGGUCAAAUCAAGCAGUUGAAGAUGGGGAAGUUGUUUCCCUGCAGAAUUAGAAUUGUCGGGACCCUCUGUUCUUUUCACUUUCAUUAUUAUUAUUAUUAUUAUUAUUUAAAAAAAAUGUUUUAUAUGUACUGUUUGUAAAGGACUUUUGUAAUGGAAGAGUAUAUGAAAAUACUUUUUAUGGAAUGAAAUACUUUUGUUACCUGCUUGAGGUGUAUUAGUAU
This is a long non-coding RNA of Lathyrus oleraceus (garden pea), 1542 nucleotides long. RefSeq lists it as uncharacterized. The transcript is spliced from 2 exons. The record is from RefSeq and is a predicted model, not a curated record. NCBI's taxonomy places the organism in Eukaryota, Viridiplantae, Streptophyta, Magnoliopsida, Fabales, Fabaceae.